Gasterosteus aculeatus aculeatus (three-spined stickleback) is the source of this 867-nucleotide long non-coding RNA. Lineage: Eukaryota; Metazoa; Chordata; Actinopteri; Perciformes; Gasterosteidae. The record is from Ensembl.
AUAUAUAUAUAUAUCCGGAUUAUAAGGCACUGUCGUUUUGUGAGGAAAUUAAAGGCUUUUAAGUGCGCCUUGGAGUGCGGACAAUGCGGUGUGAAGGUGUGGACUCUGCUAUGAAUCAAGCUGAGGACCCAGAGGACGGAGUCCCUCCCUCUGAAGCCCCUCUGUGUGGGGAACAUGACAGCCAGACCAAAGCUCAGAGGACCCAUCAGAGACCAGAAGAAGAUCUAAGGAGACUUCUACAGUAAGAAGUAAAAACAGAUGAAACUGAUGACUAACUGUCACUCAACUAAUAAACUGUCCAUCGACAGUCUUCAGCAUCUGGUUUUCAUGAUGAUCAAUGACAGAAGCUGGAGGAAUUACAGUUUGUGUUCUACAUUCAGUCACAUCUUACUGUGUGCAAGCAGGCUGCUUUACUGGCUGUUCUUACCCACAAUCCUUUGCACAGCAGGUAUAUGAGCCAGAGGGUUCAACUAGUCUACAUGUAGAAGAAGACCAGGUGACAAAGAGGGACGUGCACGGGUCCUCUGGGUCCAACAACAGCAUCCAGUCUGUUGUCAUAGCAACUCUUUACAAGGUGGAAGGAUCGUUCCACAGAUGCUGGUUUUGAUCCUGAAAGACUCUUGUUGAGCCGUGAGGAGGAUUCUGUUCACGAGGACCUUUGACCCUGUUAACAGCUCAGACUGAGACUCAGUCAACCAGUCAGACUGCAUACUUUGAUGGUGACGUGAGGACGCACCCUCUCUGAUGAAGGACAACAAGCUCUAACAAGCUGCAACACUUCACUCCGUCUGAUGGAAGCUGAAGUGAAGCACGGAGCUCCUUUUCUACACGGACCUGCUGAGGACAGAACAGAGCUGCUCACUGAGG